Molecule: long non-coding RNA, 816 nt
Filed under: Olea europaea subsp. europaea
Lineage: Eukaryota; Viridiplantae; Streptophyta; Magnoliopsida; Lamiales; Oleaceae
Source: RNAcentral
CCUUUAUGCUCAAGCCAUUUCUGAAAUUUGGUGCAAUCCUUCUUCAUGUGUCCCUUCUUUUUACAGAAGAAGCAUUUAUUUUCUUUCUUGAUUUCACCUUGGGGUGGUAUUUUACCUUUCCCCCUUUGUUUGGUUUGGUUCUGAUUCUUCCCUUGGUUUUAGUCCCUUUCACGUGUUACUAAUGAUGCAUUCUCACCCAUUUCCAUAGCUAGCCUUCCUUCAUCUUGAACACACAUGAUCAGAAGUUCAUUGAUUGACUAUUUGUCCUUAUGCGUGUUAUAAGAGAUUUUGAAGGGUCCAUAUUGAUGCGGAAGAGUGUUCAAUAGUAGUGCACAAGGAACGAAUCAGACGUUUCAAACUCCAAAGUUUUCAACUGAGCCGCAAUGUCCCUCAUCUGCAUGAUGUGCUCACGCACACCUCUCACACUGGUGAGUCUUAAGAAUGAAAAUUUCAUUAUCAAGAUACUAGCAAGUGCUUUAUCUAAAAUCACAAAUUGUUCAUCAAUAGCCUUCAGUAACGCCUUAACAUUGUCAUGUUGAUCCACGGAACCUUGAAUACAGAAGAGAUUUUAGUUUUUAUGAACAUCACAUUAAGGCGAGUAGAUCGUUCCCAUUGUUUAUAAACAGUCCUUUCUUUUGGAGUGCUGGUUGCAAUAAUAGUUGCUUUGUCCUUCCUGAUAGCAUAAUCAAUGUCCAUGCACCCUAAAUGAAGGAAAAUUCUCUCCUUUCACAUCUUAUAAUUGUCCCCUUUCAGUUCGGGAAUGUCACACUUUAUAUCAGAAAAAUUUGCAGAUUGCAUGACUGUAAAAAAUUAAAU